Long non-coding RNA from Diabrotica virgifera virgifera (western corn rootworm), 450 nucleotides. RefSeq lists it as uncharacterized. The record is from RefSeq and is a predicted model, not a curated record. NCBI's taxonomy places the organism in Eukaryota, Metazoa, Arthropoda, Insecta, Coleoptera, Chrysomelidae. The transcript is spliced from 2 exons.
AAAUCCUCCUCUGAAUAAAAAGUUCUCUGUUCGCGGAGCGCAACAACUUGUCCUGAACGUAUUCGGAAUGCGUUCAACAAGUUCUGGGAUUAAAGAGAGGAUUUAUUGUCCGCACAUGUGCAGAAGUUGAUUUGACGAAUUUAUUUAUUUUGUUAAGAGAUUCGAGAUUGUAUUUCUAACCUAACAAGUUUAAAAUUUUGAAUUGUUGUGUUAUCAUACAAAUGUUGUAAAAGAUGAUGAACCUCAGUUCAAGUGAUGAAGAUUUGGAAGAGAUUGUAGGACUUUUAAAUGUUCAAAAAAAUGCAAAUUUUUUUGAGGAAACUGUGCAACAAUUUAAUAACCAACAAUUUAUACAGAAUUUUAGAUUAAGUAGAGACUUAGCUGUAGAUUUGGCAAAUAAGUAUGAAAGAUCUCAUUUCCACAAUAUUAUGUAAAAUUACUUUUCCUGUU